RNAcentral lists this ribosomal RNA (378 nucleotides) under uncultured bacterium. RNAcentral describes it as "bacterial SSU rRNA". It matches the Rfam family "Bacterial small subunit ribosomal RNA", at positions 790 to 1167 of the family's 1533-position model. The record is from RNAcentral.
GUAGUCCACGCUGUAAACGAUGUCUACUGGCCGUUGGCCUCCUUGAGGGGUUAGUGGCGUAGCUAACGCGAUAAGUAGACCGCCUGGGGAGUACGGCCGCAAGGUUAAAACUCAAAUGAAUUGACGGGGGCCCGCACAAGCGGUGGAGCAUGUGGUUUAAUUCGACGCAACGCGAAGAACCUUACCUACUCUUGACAUCCUGCGAAACCUGUAGAGAUAUGGGUGUGCCUUCGGGAGCGCAGAGACAGGUGCUGCAUGGCUGUCGUCAGCUCGUGUCGUGAGAUGUUGGGUUAAGUCCCGUAACGAGCGCAACCCUUGUCCUUAGUUGCUAGCAGGUUAAGCUGAGAACUCUAAGGAGACUGCCGGUGACAAACCGGA